RNAcentral lists this ribosomal RNA (300 nucleotides) under Mytilus coruscus. Its description in RNAcentral is "partial 16S ribosomal RNA". It matches the Rfam family "Bacterial large subunit ribosomal RNA", at positions 1991 to 2536 of the family's 2925-position model. The record is from RNAcentral. Lineage: Eukaryota; Metazoa; Mollusca; Bivalvia; Mytilida; Mytilidae.
UAUGAAAGGGUUAACGAGGAGGGUGCUGGGUCUAAAAACUUAGUUUAAACUAACUUAAAGGUGAAGAGGCCUUUAUAAGAAAGAAGGACGACAAGACCCUAUGAAGCUUUAUCUUAUUAGGGAUUUGAAAGAUCCUUAUACGAUUUUGAUGGGAGAUCAGUAAAAAUAAGUCUUUUACCAUUAUUUUUAUCUUACAAGUGUUUCCUAAUUUUAUAUGUGUGACUAGCUACUCUAGGGAUAACAGCGCAAUUUCUCCCGAAAGAUGGUAUUGGAGGGGAAGAUUGCGACCUCGAUGUUGGC